Molecule: long non-coding RNA, 1580 nt
Organism: Scophthalmus maximus (turbot)
Lineage: Eukaryota; Metazoa; Chordata; Actinopteri; Pleuronectiformes; Scophthalmidae
Exons: 3
Source: RefSeq, a predicted model, not a curated record
GUCAUUCUCAUCUUGUCCCUCGUCCCACAGAUCCUGCAGCUGUUCAAUGAUGUGGAUAUUAACUUCAUCCCCUGAUCUCUACAACUCUAGAAUUCUGGUACAUAGAGUAAAGAACAAAGACAUCAAAGGGGAGCUACAGCCAGGCCAGUAUAUAUAGAAUAGAAUAGACCUUUAUUGCCAUUGGUCUGUUAGCAACUCUUCCGUGUGCAGCAUUAAAACGAAUGGAAGAGCAUGAAUAUAUAAUAUGAGUGUCCUGAUGUCAAUGGGGAGCUCCAUCCACCAUUGAGGAACCAGGACAGCAAACAGACAGGCAGCCCACCCUUCGCAGUGAGGCACCAGCAAGUGGUUUGGCAGACGGGCUGGGGUGUAAGGUUUGACCAUGUUCUGGAUAUUAGAAGAGCCUGAAACCAUUCCCAGCAUGGUGCGCAAGUACCAGUGCCUUGAAUCGGAUUCAAGCCACCACCGGAAGCCAGUGCAGAGUGCGGAGAAGCGAUGUAGUAUGGGAGAAUUUUGGUAGGUUGCAGACCAACCGGUCCGCUGCAUUCUGGAUGAGCUGCAGAGGUCAGAUGGCACAUGUUGGCAGGCCAUCUAGGUAAGAGUUGCAGGAGUCCGUUUUGUAGAUGGUGCGGCCUUCUAGCUCGAUAGGGAUGUCUGGGGUGCUCGGGUCGAACCAAGUCUCAGUAAUCAUCAUCACACAGCAGUCUAGGCUGUGGGAGGUGAUCCACAGUCUUAUCUCAUCCUCUUUGUUGUUGAGUGACUGCGAUGGCAAAAUAGAGGCUCGGGAUGGCAGGUUUGAAGCAGUUAGCCUUUUGCCCUGCCCGUAGCCUCGCUCUUUUUUUUCCUGUGUCACCAUCUGCGCUGCCAUCUCUUCUCGACCAUCAAAGCUUCUCAUUGUGUGUUAUCCCCCAGGCUUGCUCAUUCAUUCAAGUUUACUGCACCUGGCUGAGCACACAUCUAACUGGCAUGAUGUCAUCACUCUGAUAGAAGGUUGUCACAACGAUCAAAAAUGAAUAAAUGGCAUAAUAUAAUUUGUCCUGGUCAUUCCAUUCCUCAGAUGCUCUAAAGUUUCUCAAAUAAGCACCACUAUGUGAGUUUCGGAGGUUAUUAUCAAGGACUGGUAUAUAUUGAAAAGCCUCAUGACUCUACCAAGCUCGGGUCCUCCUCUGCACAGUCCGAAAUUCAACCCAUCACAUUUGCAUGUCACGUGGGGAAAGUUCUGGCAAUGCAAACGCAUUUCGGCAGCACAACAAUUUUUAGUGUUUGUACAUUUAGAGAAUUUGGUGUAAUUAGUAAUACAUUGCAGACAUAUAUAUAUAUAUAUAUAUAUAUAUAUAUAUAUAUAUAUAUAUAUAUAUAUAUAUAUAUAUAUAUAUAUAUAUAUGAAUAUUUAAUAAUAUUUAUUUUUUUCAACCCACUGCACAUUACUUUUGCACUCUGUAUAUAUGUACAUAGCUUUUUGAAAACAGUUUGUUCCUGUAUUUUUAAUUGUACUUUUUGCUUCCCUGUGUAAUACUGUGCUGCUGUGACAAGUGAAUUUACCCGAGCGGGAUGAAUAAAGUUUUCUAUUCUAUUCUAUUCUA